RNAcentral lists this ribosomal RNA (458 nucleotides) under uncultured bacterium. Its description in RNAcentral is "partial 16S ribosomal RNA". It matches the Rfam family "Bacterial small subunit ribosomal RNA", at positions 338 to 795 of the family's 1533-position model. The record is from RNAcentral.
CCUACGGGAGGCAGCAGUGAGGAAUAUUGGUCAAUGGGCGAGAGCCUGAACCAGCCAAGUCGCGUGAGGGAGUACUGCCCUAUGGGUUGUAAACCUCUUUUGUCGGGGAGCAAAAGCCGGACGUGUCCGGCUGUGAGAGUACCCGAAGAAAAAGCAUCGGCUAACUCCGUGCCAGCAGCCGCGGUAAUACGGAGGAUGCGAGCGUUAUCCGGAUUUAUUGGGUUUAAAGGGUGCGUAGGCGGAACAUUAAGUCAGCGGUAAAAUCGAGGGGCUCAACCCCUUUAAGCCGUUGAAACUGGUGAUCUUGAGUGGGCGAGAAGUAUGCGGAAUGCGUGGUGUAGCGGUGAAAUGCAUAGAUAUCACGCAGAACUCCGAUUGCGAAGGCAGCAUACCGGCGCCCGACUGACGCUGAGGCACGAAAGCGUGGGGAUCGAACAGGAUUAGAUACCCUUGUAGUC